Long non-coding RNA from Scatophagus argus, 369 nucleotides. RefSeq lists it as uncharacterized. The record is from RefSeq and is a predicted model, not a curated record. The transcript has 3 exons. Lineage: Eukaryota; Metazoa; Chordata; Actinopteri; Scatophagidae.
AGCAUCUAAGUCACUAAAUGCCACACUCGUGUGUCUAAAUGUGCAUUGAAAGCGUCCCUUCAGUCUCUCUUUCUGUGUAAAACAUUCAGACAGCUCAGGUGAAGAUUUGACGCUGGGAGUCACGUGUUUGGUCCGUCGCAGGUGUUGAGUACAGCUCAGGCAGGACCCUUUUCUGAGCGCUUCCCUGUCAGCACCAUGAUCAACCUACAGCCCAAGAGAAGGAGGAUGAAGAUGAAGCCAUUUUGCUGCAUCCUCAGAUGUCACAACCAGAGUCAGUGGAGCUGAAAUGAGCAACAGAAGAAGGAGACGACUGAGUUCCUGUCUGAUUUCCUGGACACAUCUGACUCACCUCAGUCGGCUCUUUCCUCC